ACUUUAGAUGAGUGCAGGUCCCGUAUGUCCCUUCACCUCUAUAUGAAGGCCCAGUUUAUAUUUAAAAGUCAAGUAGAUGAUUAGGAAUUUACGGACCAGUUGUUUCUGUGUGUUGAAAAAGUGGACCCAAACUCCUUGCAUGAUAUAUAAUAUACAAAAAAUAUCAUUAUUUUUCAUUUUGUGGUUGACAAGCUAAUUACUUUAUAUGUGUGUAUAAAAAUGUAUAUUUUUUUGCAUCUUUUGUGUUCCUGUGGGUGGAGCAAGAGGUGUGUGAAGGUUCUUCCAUUACUUUGAACAUGUUAAAACACUACUAUAAAACAAGAAAAUUAAAUAACUGGUAUCCUUUUAAGCCUUAUUCAUUCUGAAUUCUUACUGCCAAAAAGCCAAAUCACAAAACAGUCUUUUCACAACAUCUUGACUGGAAAUAAAUCUGUUUAAUUCAUGGAGUUUAGAGUGCAGUGUGGGCAUUUAAACAUUAAAGACAAAAAAGGAAGAGAACGAUUCCCAAAUUGUUCAAACCGUAACUAUGAAAAACAUAAAACUUUAUGCUAGAGUGUUAAAUAGACAUUACCUUUUGACUUUGUGUUCUGUGCACAUUAAUUGACUAGUCUGUGACGUAAAACAAGAAAAUAGUACAUUUUGCGAACCUCUCACCAAGCAACCUGAAAGCGAACAGCUCCCUUGUAAUAGCAGUGAGGACCAAUCAGAUGGGUACUUUUAGAAGCCCAGCAAGACCUGUCCCACUUCUGCUUUCUCUUUCUCUCGGGGUAUUUUCUGUUUUUGUCGUUCCUCGUCCCUUUCCCCGGUCACUAUUACGUAAACGCUUCACCAAUGCCAUCCCUCCCUCCUGUAUUAAAAAAAAUAUAUAUAUAAAAAUCUCCCAAUACCUGUUUGUCUCCCAAAGUCAUCCUAAUUAGUGUUUAGAGUUCCUGCUCACCUGCAGCGAGGUUGUCUGCGCCCGAAAGCCACCACUUUCUCGUCUUUGCCAAGCCAGCUCUAAUGAAAGGGUCCUAUCAGCUGCUAUCAAUGCUUGUGUGUGUGUGUGUGUGUGUUUGUGUGUGAGACGGGGGGAAAAAAAGAAAGACCACUCACACAUCAUUAACAGCAUUACCUCAAUUACACAGUCUGACAAUGAGAACUAGCGCAGAAAGAGGGAGAGUGAGUGAAAGUAGGGAUGCGGGGUGUAAGAAGGGGUGGGGAGUUGACAGGAGACAGGAUGGAGGAGGGAGAGAUUUCACUUUGCACAAAUGAGGGAGCUCAGCGGCAAAAUUGUAACCAGUUUUAUUCACCUGUCAAGGAAAUGUAAAACAGGUACUGCACACAAAACCAAUUUCUCCAUUGCACUGAAUUCAAUCCUCCAGUUGUGUUAAAAUAUAUAUAU
Gasterosteus aculeatus aculeatus (three-spined stickleback) is the source of this 1381-nucleotide long non-coding RNA. The record is from Ensembl. Lineage: Eukaryota; Metazoa; Chordata; Actinopteri; Perciformes; Gasterosteidae.